UUAUCGUCAGGCGACUGGGGUUCAAAUGGAGAAAAGGAGACACGAGGUGUUUUCUGGAGAAUGGGGUUCAUUAUUUUGGCAAACAGGAGAACAGGGUUCAAAUGCAGUGAUCGGGGCUCAUUUGCGCAAAAGAAAAUUUCAGGGUUCAAGAAAAUGAAAAAGAGAAAAAAUUUCGGGGUUCAAGAAAAGCAAAAAAAAAGGGGGGAAGAGG
This 211-nucleotide long non-coding RNA is filed under the name Lathyrus oleraceus (garden pea). RNAcentral describes it as "Pisum sativum (pea) long non-coding RNA (PSAT_LNC004921)". Lineage: Eukaryota; Viridiplantae; Streptophyta; Magnoliopsida; Fabales; Fabaceae. The record is from RNAcentral.